Small nucleolar RNA from Nannospalax galili (Upper Galilee mountains blind mole rat), 103 nucleotides. RefSeq annotates it as small nucleolar RNA U13. The transcript has a single exon. The record is from RefSeq and is a predicted model, not a curated record. Lineage: Eukaryota; Metazoa; Chordata; Mammalia; Rodentia; Spalacidae.
ACCCUUUUUAGGUUCACAAGUGUGAUGAUUGGGUGUUCAUGCACCUGCAUGACAUGUGCCGCCCUCAAACCUUAUUACUCACUGGCACAUUAGGCAUCUGAUG